This 229-nucleotide ribosomal RNA is filed under the name uncultured bacterium. Its description in RNAcentral is "partial 16S ribosomal RNA". It matches the Rfam family "Bacterial small subunit ribosomal RNA", at positions 568 to 796 of the family's 1533-position model. The record is from RNAcentral.
UCCGUAGGUGGAUAAUUAAGUCAGAGGUGAAAUCCUGCAGCUCAACUGUAGAAUUGCCUUUGAUACUGGUUAUCUUGAGUUAUUAUGAAGUAGUUAGAAUAUGUAGUGUAGCGGUGAAAUGCAUAGAUAUUACAUAGAAUACCAAUUGCGAAGGCAGAUUACUAAUAAUAUACUGACACUGAUGGACGAAAGCGUGGGGAGCGAACAGGAUUAGAUACCCUGGUAGUCC